GACGAACGCUGGCGGCGUGCUUAACACAUGCAAGUCGAACGGAAAGGCCCUGCUUGCAGGGUACUCGAGUGGCGAACGGGUGAGUAACACGUGGGUGAUCUGCCCUGCACUUCGGGAUAAGCCUGGGAAACUGGGUCUAAUACCGGCUAGGAGCCAUUUUUAGUGUGAUGGUUGGAAAGUUUUUUCGGUGUAGGAUGAGCUCGCGGCCUAUCAGCUUGUUGGUGGGGUAAUGGCCUACCAAGGCGGCGACGGGUAGCCGGCCUGAGAGGGUGGACGGCCACAUUGGGACUGAGAUACGGCCCAGACUCCUACGGGAGGCAGCAGUGGGGAAUAUUGCACAAUGGGCGCAAGCCUGAUGCAGCGACGCCGCGUGGGGGAUGACGGCCUUCGGGUUGUAAACUCCUUUCGCUAGGGACGAAGCUUUUUGUGACGGUACCUAGAUAAGAAGCACCGGCUAACUACGUG
RNAcentral lists this ribosomal RNA (465 nucleotides) under uncultured bacterium. RNAcentral describes it as "partial 16S ribosomal RNA". It matches the Rfam family "Bacterial small subunit ribosomal RNA", at positions 28 to 507 of the family's 1533-position model. The record is from RNAcentral.